RNAcentral lists this ribosomal RNA (405 nucleotides) under uncultured bacterium. RNAcentral describes it as "bacterial SSU rRNA". It matches the Rfam family "Bacterial small subunit ribosomal RNA", at positions 356 to 773 of the family's 1533-position model. The record is from RNAcentral.
GGGGAAUAUUGCACAAUGGGCGAAAGCCUGAUGCAGCAACGCCGCGUGAGGGACGACGGCCUUCGGGUUGUAAACCUCUUUUAGCAGGGAAGAAGCGAAAGUGACGGUACCUGCAGAAAAAGCACCGGCUAACUACGUGCCAGCAGCCGCGGUAAUACGUAGGGUGCAAGCGUUGUCCGGAAUUAUUGGGCGUAAAGAGCUCGUAGGCGGUUUGUCGCGUCUGCUGUGAAAUCCCGAGGCUCAACCUCGGGUCUGCAGUGGGUACGGGCAGACUAGAGUGCGGUAGGGGAGAUUGGAAUUCCUGGUGUAGCGGUGGAAUGCGCAGAUAUCAGGAGGAACACCGAUGGCGAAGGCAGAUCUCUGGGCCGCUACUGACGCUGAGGAGCGAAAGGGUGGGGAGCAAAC